RNAcentral lists this ribosomal RNA (256 nucleotides) under uncultured bacterium. Its description in RNAcentral is "partial 16S ribosomal RNA". It matches the Rfam family "Bacterial small subunit ribosomal RNA", at positions 524 to 776 of the family's 1533-position model. The record is from RNAcentral.
UACAGAGGAUGCAAGCGUUAUCCGGAAUGAUUGGGCGUAAAGCGUCUGUAGGUGGCUUUUUAAGUCCGCCGUCAAAUCCCAGGGCUCAACUCUGGACAGGCGGUGGAAACUACCAAGCUGGAGUACGGUAGGGGCAGGAGGGAAUUUCCGGGUGGAGCGGUGAAAUGACGUAGAGAUCGGAAAGAACACCAACGGCGAAAGCACUCUGCUGGGCCGACACUGACACUGAGAGACGAAAGCUAGGGGAGCGAAUGGG